UAGAUGCGAGAGUAGAGCAUAUCAAUAAGCGGAGGAAAAGAAACUAACAAGGAUUCCCUUAGUAACGGCGAGUGAAGCGGGAAGAGCUCAAAUUUGAAAUCUUCAAGGUUCUACCUUGACGAAUUGUAGUUUAUAAGAAGUGUUUUCUGUUAGUGAGUUGGCUAAAAGUUCUUUGGAAUAGGACAUCAUAGAGGGUGAGAAUCCCGUAUUUGGUCAUUCCUCCUAGCUGUUGUGAUACACUUUCAACGAGUCGGAUUGUUUGGGAAUGCAGUCCAAAAUGGGUGGUAAAUUUCAUCUAAAGCUAAAUAUUGGCGAGAGACCGAUAGCGAACAAGUACCGUGAGGGAAAGAUGAAAAGAACUUUGAAAAGAGAGUUAAACAAUACGUGAAAUUGUCAAAAGGGAAGCGUUUGACACCAGUGUUGUUUUUCCGAAAAUCAAUUACGAAUGUUUUGUUUUUGAGGAGUUAUGACUUCAUCGGCUUGCUCCUUUCUUUACGAAACUUUCUUAAUGCACUUUUCGGUUAACAAGUCAACAUCAAUUUCUUUUGUUGUAAAAGGGUAUGAGGAAGGUGGCUUUCUUUUCGGAGAAAGUGUUUAUAGCCUUGUGCCUCUACAAUCGGAGAGAUUGAGGUCUGCAGCGUAGAUCCUUCGGGUUAGAUACGUUUGUGCUAAGUUAUAGCUUUUCAUAGACAACUUGUUGACUAUGUUUAGUCUUGUAGCUUACUCGCUGACGCUAUUUUACCUACGCUUAGGAUGUUGACGCGCGUGUGUGCGU
This 775-nucleotide ribosomal RNA is filed under the name uncultured Neocallimastigales. Its description in RNAcentral is "partial large subunit ribosomal RNA". It matches the Rfam family "Eukaryotic large subunit ribosomal RNA", at positions 22 to 640 of the family's 3401-position model. The record is from RNAcentral. Lineage: Eukaryota; Fungi; Neocallimastigomycota; Neocallimastigomycetes; Neocallimastigales.